GAUGAACGCUGGCGGCGUGCCUAAUACAUGCAAGUCGAGCGAACAGACGAGGAGCUUGCUCCUCUGACGUUAGCGGCGGACGGGUGAGUAACACGUGGAUAACCUACCUAUAAGACUGGGAUAACUUCGGGAAACCGGAGCUAAUACCGGAUAAUAUAUUGAACCGCAUGGUUCAAUAGUGAAAGACGGUUUUGCUGUCACUUAUAGAUGGAUCCGCGCCGCAUUAGCUAGUUGGUAAGGUAACGGCUUAACAAGGCAACGAUGCGUAGCCGACCUGAGAGGGUGAUCGGCCACACUGGAACUGAGACACGGGCCAGACUCCUACGGGAGGCAGCAGUAGGGAAUCUUCCGCAAUGGGCGAAAGCCUGACGGAGCAACGCCGCGUGAGUGAUGAAGGUCUUCGGAUCGUAAAACUCUGUUAUUAGGGAAGAACAAAUGUGUAAGUAACUAUGCACGUCUUGACGGUACCUAAUCAGAAAGCCACGGCUAACUACGUG
This 497-nucleotide ribosomal RNA is filed under the name uncultured bacterium. Its description in RNAcentral is "partial 16S ribosomal RNA". It matches the Rfam family "Bacterial small subunit ribosomal RNA", at positions 28 to 507 of the family's 1533-position model. The record is from RNAcentral.